RNAcentral lists this ribosomal RNA (716 nucleotides) under uncultured Bacteroidales bacterium. RNAcentral describes it as "bacterial SSU rRNA". It matches the Rfam family "Bacterial small subunit ribosomal RNA", at positions 39 to 744 of the family's 1533-position model. Lineage: Bacteria; Pseudomonadati; Bacteroidota; Bacteroidia; Bacteroidales. The record is from RNAcentral.
GCUACAGGCUUAACACAUGCAAGUCGAGGGGCAGCAUGGUCUUAGCUUGCUAAGGCCGAUGGCGACCGGCGCACGGGUGAGUAACACGUAUCCAACCUGCCGUCUACUCUUGGACAGCCUUCUGAAAGGAAGAUUAAUACAAGAUGGCAUCAUGAGUCCGCAUGUUCACAUGAUUAAAGGUAUUCCGGUAGACGAUGGGGAUGCGUUCCAUUAGAUAGUAGGCGGGGUAACGGCCCACCUAGUCUUCGAUGGAUAGGGGUUCUGAGAGGAAGGUCCCCCACAUUGGAACUGAGACACGGUCCAAACUCCUACGGGAGGCAGCAGUGAGGAAUAUUGGUCAAUGGGCGAGAGCCUGAACCAGCCAAGUAGCGUGAAGGAUGACUGCCCUAUGGGUUGUAAACUUCUUUUAUAAAGGAAUAAAGUCGGGUAUGGAUACCCGUUUGCAUGUACUUUAUGAAUAAGGAUCGGCUAACUCCGUGCCAGCAGCCGCGGUAAUACGGAGGAUCCGAGCGUUAUCCGGAUUUAUUGGGUUUAAAGGGAGCGUAGAUGGAUAUUUAAGUCAGUUGUGAAAGUUUGCGGCUCAACCGUAAAAUUGCAGUUGAUACUGGAUAUCUUGAGUGCAGUUGAGGCAGGCGGAAUUCGUGGUGUAGCGGUGAAAUGCUUAGAUAUCACGAAGAACUCCGAUUGCGAAGGCAGCCUGCUAAGCUGCAACUGAC